Molecule: ribosomal RNA, 672 nt
Filed under: Inocybe inodora
Lineage: Eukaryota; Fungi; Basidiomycota; Agaricomycetes; Agaricales; Inocybaceae
Description: eukaryotic LSU rRNA
Rfam family: Eukaryotic large subunit ribosomal RNA
Source: RNAcentral
GACCUCAAAUCAGGUAGGACUACCCGCUGAACUUAAGCAUAUCAAUAAGCGGAGGAAAAGAAACUAACAAGGAUUCCCCUAGUAACUGCGAGUGAAGCGGGAAAAGCUCAAAUUUGAAAUCUGGCGGUUCUUGACCGUCCGAGUUGUAAUCUAGAGAAGUGUUACCUGUGCUGGACCGUGUAAAAGUCUCCUGGAAUGGAGCAUCAUAGAGGGUGAGAAUCCCGUCUUUGACAUGGACUACCUGUACACUGUGGUGCGCUCUCAAAGAGUCGAGUUGUUUGGGAAUGCAGCUCAAAAUGGGUGGUAAAUGCCAUCUAAAGCUAAAUAUUGGCGAGAGACCGAUAGCGAACAAGUACCGUGAGGGAAAGAUGAAAAGAACUUUGGAAAGAGAGUUAAACAGUACGUGAAAUUGCUGAAAGGGAAACGCUUGAAGUCAGUCGCGUUGGCUAGAAAUCAGCCGUUGCUCUUGCUCGGUGUACUUUCUGGUCGACGGGUCAGCAUCAAUUUUGACCAUUGGAUAAAGUCUUUGGGAAUGUGGCAUCUUAGGAUGUGUUAUAGCCCAUUGUCGCAUACGGUGGUUGGGAUUGAGGAGCUCAGCACGCCCGCAAGGGACGGGUUUUUCUACCACGUUCGUGCUUAGGAUGCUGGCAUAAUGGCUUUAAUCGACCCGUC